UAAUACAGAGACUGCAAGCGUUAUUCGGAUUCACUGGGCGUAAAGGGUGCGCAGGCGGUCGCGUGUGUCAGGUGUGAAAGCCCGGAGCUUAACUCCGGAAUUGCGCCUGAAACUACGUGACUAGAGCAUUGGAGAGGGUAGCGGAAUUCACGGUGUAGCAGUGAAAUGCGUAGAUAUCGUGAGGAACACCAGAGGCGAAGGCGGCUACCUGGACAAUUGCUGACGCUCAGGCACGAAAGCGUGGGGAGCAAAAGGG
RNAcentral lists this ribosomal RNA (256 nucleotides) under uncultured archaeon. RNAcentral describes it as "partial 16S ribosomal RNA". It matches the Rfam family "Bacterial small subunit ribosomal RNA", at positions 521 to 776 of the family's 1533-position model. The record is from RNAcentral.